UGUAAAUAAAUCUCCAAACGCUGUUUUGAAUGACAUUUCGUAGGUGAAUUUCAAUCCGAGGUCCUACUGUCUAAGUAUACGGCGACAAUCGGGAACUACAGCAACAACAUCAGUCUCCGGCAGUCAUAGUGCAGUAGUGACGUGCCAAGGCAUCAUACCAGAGAUCGAGAUUCUAGACAGCGAGGACGAGGAAAUACAAAGCGCUUUACUAGAGGCAAUGCAGCACCAGGAACCAAGUACCAUGAGGUGAAAUAUGUAACCUGUUCCUGAGAGUUAUAUGCCCUUGAAAUAAACCAUGGGCAUGGCUGCUAUGCCUAUGACAAAGCGGUGUGGGGGUAUUGUUAGUCACCCUUGUGGCUUCUAUGCCUGUGACAAAGCGGUGUGGGGGUAUUGUUAGGCACCCUUGUGGCUGCUAUGCCUAUGACAAAGCGGUGUGGGGGUAUUGUUAGUCACCCUUGUGGCUGCUAUGCCUAUGACAAAGCGGUGUGGGGGUGUUGUUAGUCACCCUUGUGACAAAGCUGUAGUUGUAUCUGCCCUAUUCAGUUUUGGGGAUUUUUAAUUAGGAAUCACGCAUGUCAUCAAAUUAAGUCGUGCCAUGCUUUUCACAAUGUCUGGUAACUUUCCAUCUUACUUUAUUGUCACGUCAUGCCACUUCCCAAUAGGUUUCCCUGUCUGGCUAUUUCUCAAUAGUAGUAGAGGUAUUGGCUUCAAACCCUGCUCAUGUAUAUAGGGUUAUAAAGAGGAGACGAUGAGUGGAGUGCACACGAUUUGUAACUCCAGCUGCAUCAUGUACAACGUUAUUACCGUUGCUUCAAAUAUGUAUUUGUGGUAAUUAGAUGCAGUGACAGACACAAAAUGUCCAGUAUACUAUCAAUGCAGAACAAUAGGGACAGCUGUUGUUAAAAUAUUACAAUAUCAUUAAACUCAAAUUUUAUUUUACAUUCAGCGAUGAUUCCACAGAGCCAUCUGUGGCUGAUAUUUUACAAGAGUUUUGGAACCAAUACAUCAAAGAUGACCGCACAAACUGUGUGAUCUCCUGUUCGAAGCCGUUAGAUAUUGCCAUACGACUAUUAGAAAAGACGACGGUCAAGCUUCAAAAUAAAUUGUUUGUCAAGUUUUCUGGGGAGAUUGGUGGGGACCAUGAAUUUUUCCGGUAUGCUUCAUUAUACCGUAAUAACUCUAUGUGUUCGGACAUUCUAAGUUUUCGGACACCCCCUUUUUAAGCAAAAAUAAUUAUUUUUCAUGACUCUUAAUUUUCGGACACACGAGUUUUCGUCCAUCAUUAAUGUCUCUAAGUUUUCGGACAGUAUAUUUUACAGCGCUAUUUUACCAAAUUUCGGUCCUGUUUUCGAUAUCUUAUGACACUUCGAUCAUGGGGUUUUACAACCAGAUUAACAUCAUAAAACAUGGCAGGUGCAUGCCUGAGGGUAACGGACCAUUACAUAUGCGUUAUUGGGUAAAUAACCUUGUAAACCGGUAUUAAAUAAUGGUUUCGCCCGAUAGCAUAAGCUUUAUGACAAUAACCAGGGGUAGUGCCAAUUAACAGUUCCAUUAUCUACCGCAAUGGUACAACCCCCAUCUCAGUAAUAUAACUGUGACAAAUACUAAACGCUUCGAAGUGUGAUGCACCCUAUUGCAAGUUUCACGAACAAUGGAAGUUGUUAGACAACAAAUAUCGGAAAUGAACAAACAAAGAAUUCAUAGUUUGCUUUUGUAUUGCGUUAAUUACAGGUUCAUACUAGCGUGUAUCGGUACAUCACAUGCUCAUCUUUGAACACGUUGGUCAACGUACAACCUUGUAGUACUUUCUGUCACAUAAAUGAAGCAUUUUAAAUAAUUUUUAAAUGCAGUGCAAACAUAUUUAACUGUAAUUUAUACUUUGCGGCAUGGUAUUUUACAAGCGCGUGCUAUUACCGGUAGUCGUUGAUACAAUUGACGCUAUUUUCGGACACUUAAAUUUUCGACUCUAAGUUUAGGACACCUGUAUUUUGUGAAUAUUUUUCGUAUCUAAGUUUUCGGACACGAAACUAAAUAAUUAUUUUGACGUGUCCGAAAACAUAGAGUAAUUACGGUAUCAUCACAUGUCUAACAUUAAAAAAGAUGUUCACAGCAAUGUAGUUGUAUUGUUAUGUACUGUCUUGUAUUAUUUAACACAAACUUGAAUAAAAUAAUGUAGUAAAACUAGAACAUUCAAACAGUAAUUGUGCAGUAACAGUACAGAACUAUUACAGAAUGUGUAUUAUACUUGUAUAACUCAGUACAAAACCAAUUCAGUUUUAGUACACUACAGGCACAACGCCUAUUCAAUUCCAAUAGAAUAGAACAGAACCAGUGUAGUUCUAGUACAGGACCAAUCAAGUCUAAACACAUUUGAAGAUUGGCCUCCAAGGUUCAAAAAAAAAAUUAAGGACCAGAUGGAGCAAAGGUUUUCAGACAUGAUCUUCAACUUGUGGAAAAGGGGCAAUACAGGAUUGUGGGAAGGCUGUUGGCUAUGUCACUCGCGCAGGACAGAACAGGUUUUCACUGCUUGAACAAGCAGUUUUUUGCAAUGAUGACGGUUGUUAAUGGGAGACAACUGCUACUGAUGAAAUCAUGGACCCCGAUAUUAAGGAAUGUCUUGAAAUGUUGGAGAAAAUCACAGACGUUCAGAAAAGGGAUCAGUUCUUGGCAAAGUUUGGGGACUGGCUGGCUGACAGGGGGAUCAACCCUUAUAGAAUGGCCGUGGUGGACAAGGGAUCCAUGAAGGAGAUGGUUAUAAAGUACCACAUGUUAUAUGUAGAACAUCAGCUAAGAUUGCCCAAUUUAAGGAUGGCAUGGAUGACGUAUGCGGCAUGUGGGGGAUGGUAACAAAACAUGCCAGUGUAUUCCAACCGCUGUUUUGCAAUCUUCCUAAACCUCUAAUGAAACAGGAGAUGGACAGAAUCAUUCGGUAUGAUUUCAGUGAACUCAGAUCUAAUGCCAGGACAUCUGAAGAUGAGACUGUUUACGCAUGUGAGCUCUUUUUGCAGGACAUUGAAGAUGGAAUUGUUCCAACAACAAGGGCAGAGUUGCUGUCGUUCAUUUCCGGAGCAGCCAGUAUUCCCUCCUUGGGCUUUCAAAAGCUGAUUGAGAUACAUUUCUAUAUGCAAGAAGACUGAGUGACCCGUCUUCCAUAUGCAUCAACAUGUUCUCUGGACUUGUGGCUGCCUAGACGACAGAAACCAGAGAGCU
Molecule: RNA transcript, 3210 nt
Organism: Dreissena polymorpha
Lineage: Eukaryota; Metazoa; Mollusca; Bivalvia; Myida; Dreissenidae
Exons: 5
Source: RefSeq, a predicted model, not a curated record